RNAcentral lists this ribosomal RNA (440 nucleotides) under uncultured bacterium. RNAcentral's name for it is "partial 16S ribosomal RNA". It matches the Rfam family "Bacterial small subunit ribosomal RNA", at positions 338 to 795 of the family's 1533-position model. The record is from RNAcentral.
CCUACGGGUGGCAGCAGUAGGGAAUAUUGCUCAAUGGGGGAAACCCUGACGCAGCAACGCCGCGUGGAGGAUGAAGGUUUUCGGAUUGUAAACUCCUUUUGUUAGAGAAGAUAAUGACGGUAUCUAACGAAUAAGCACCGGCUAACUCCGUGCCAGCAGCCGCGGUAAUACGGAGGGUGCAAGCGUUACUCGGAAUCACCGGGCGUAAAGAGCGCGUAGGCGGGAUAGCAAGUCAGAUGUGAAAUCCUAUGGCUUAACCAUAGAACUGCAUUUGAAACUGGUAUUCUAGAGUAUGGGAGAGGUAGGUGGAAUUCUGGGUGUAGGGGUAAAAUGCGUAGAGAUCAAGAGGAAUACUCAUUGCGAAGGCGACCUGCUAGAACAUAACUGACGCUGAUGCGCGAAAGCGUGGGGAGCAAACAGGAUUAGAUACCCUUGUAGUC